GAUGAACGCUGGCGGCGUGCCUAAUACAUGCAAGUCGAGCGAACGGACGAGAAGCUUGCUUCUCUGAUGUUAGCGGCGGACGGGUGAGUAAAACGUGGAUAACCUACCUAUAAGACUGGGAUAACUUCGGGAAACCGGAGCUAAUACCGGAUAAUAUUUUGAACCGCAUGGUUCAAAAGUGAAAGACGGUCUUGCUGUCACUUAUAGAUGGAUCCGCGCUGCAUUAGCUAGUUGGUAAGGUAACGGCUUACCAAGGCAACGAUGCAUAGCCGACCUGAGAGGGUGAACGGCCACACUGGAACUGAGACACGGUCCAGACUCCUACGGGAGGCAGCAGUAGGGAAUCUUGCGCGAUGGGCGAAAGCCUGACGGAGCAACGCCGCGUGAGUGAUGAAGGUCUUCGGAUCGUAAAACUCUGUUAUUAGGGAAGAACAUAUGUGUAAGUAACUGUGCACAUCUUGACGGUACCUAAUCAGAAAGCCACGGCUAACUACGUG
Molecule: ribosomal RNA, 497 nt
Filed under: uncultured bacterium
Lineage: Bacteria
Description: partial 16S ribosomal RNA
Rfam family: Bacterial small subunit ribosomal RNA
Source: RNAcentral